This 72-nucleotide transfer RNA is filed under the name Sphaerodactylus townsendi. Its description in RNAcentral is "tRNA-Ala". It matches the Rfam family "tRNA". From Rfam's summary of the family: Transfer RNA (tRNA) molecules are approximately 80 nucleotides in length. Their secondary structure includes four short double-helical elements and three loops (D, anti-codon, and T loops). Further hydrogen bonds mediate the characteristic L-shaped molecular structure. tRNAs have two regions of fundamental functional importance: the anti-codon, which is responsible for specific mRNA codon recognition, and the 3' end, to which the tRNAs corresponding amino acid is attached (by aminoacyl-tRNA synthetases). tRNAs cope with the degeneracy of the genetic code in two manners: having more than one tRNA (with a specific anti-codon) for a particular amino acid; and 'wobble' base-pairing, i.e. permitting non-standard base-pairing at the 3rd anti-codon position. The record is from RNAcentral. Lineage: Eukaryota; Metazoa; Chordata; Lepidosauria; Squamata; Sphaerodactylidae.
GGGGCUGUGGCUCACUUGAAGAGCCUGUGUUUUGCAUGCAGAAGGUCCCGGGUUCAGUCCCUGGCAUCUCCA